Molecule: unclassified non-coding RNA, 296 nt
Filed under: uncultured fungus
Lineage: Eukaryota; Fungi
Description: partial contains 5.8S ribosomal RNA, internal transcribed spacer 2, and large subunit ribosomal RNA
Source: RNAcentral
AACGCAUAUCGCGCUCGAGGUUUCGGCCGAGAGCAUGUCUGCCUCAGCGUCUUUCUACUUCUCCCUAUCGACUCUCUGUAAGGGAGCCGGUCAGGGGAUCUGGUCGUUCCGAGCCCCGGCCGCUCGGAUCGGUCGAAAUGCAGAAGGGCCCUCCCCUCACUAACUGAAGGGUCUCGAAAGGUGGAUUGCCUGCGGGCGAUACCGAUCGAGGCCUGGAGGGGUUGCCGAGCCCUUUGAUCGGAGAUCACAUUCAGACUUUUGACCUGAGUUCAGGCAAGAUCACCCGCUGAACUUAA